Molecule: ribosomal RNA, 497 nt
Filed under: uncultured bacterium
Lineage: Bacteria
Description: partial 16S ribosomal RNA
Rfam family: Bacterial small subunit ribosomal RNA
Source: RNAcentral
GAUGAUCGCUGGCGGCGUGCCUAAUACAUGUAAGUCGAGCGAACGGACGAGAAGCUUGCUUUUCUGAUGUUAGCGGCGGACGGGUGAGUAACACGUGGAUAACCUACCUAUAAGACUGGGAUAACUUCGGGAAACCGGAGCUAAUACCGGAUAAUAUUUUGAACCGCAUGGUUCAAAAGUGAAAGACGGUCUUGCUGUCACUUAUAGAUGGAUCCGCGCUGCAUUAGCUAGUUGGUAAGGUAACGGCUUACCAAGGCAACGAUGCAUAGCCGACCUGAGAGGGUGAUCGGCCACACUGGAACUGAGACACGGUCCAGACUCCUACGGGAGGCAGCAGUAGGGAAUCUUCCGCAAUGGGCGAAAGCCUGACGGAGCAACGCCGCGUGAGUGAUGAAGGUCUUCGGAUCGUAAAACUCUGUUAUUAGGGAAGAACAUAUGUGUAAGUAACUGUGCACAUCUUGACGGUACCUAAUCAGAAAGCCACGGCUAACUACGUG